UACGUAGGGGGCAAGCGUUGUCCGGAAUCAUUGGGCGUAAAGAGCGUGUAGGCGGCCUGGAAAGUCUGGUGUGAAAGUCAAAGGCUCAACCUUUGAAAGCCGAUGGAUACUGCCGGGCUGGAGUCCAGAAGAGGCGAGUGGAAUUCCUGGUGUAGCGGUGGAAUGCGCAGAUAUCGGGAAGAACACCCGUGGCGAAGGCGGCUCUCUGGGACGGUACUGACGCUGAGACGCGAAAGCGUGGGGAGCGAACAGG
RNAcentral lists this ribosomal RNA (253 nucleotides) under uncultured bacterium. RNAcentral describes it as "partial 16S ribosomal RNA". It matches the Rfam family "Bacterial small subunit ribosomal RNA", at positions 524 to 776 of the family's 1533-position model. The record is from RNAcentral.